This is a long non-coding RNA of Brassica napus (rape), 3329 nucleotides long. RefSeq lists it as uncharacterized. The record is from RefSeq and is a predicted model, not a curated record. NCBI's taxonomy places the organism in Eukaryota, Viridiplantae, Streptophyta, Magnoliopsida, Brassicales, Brassicaceae. The transcript has 2 exons.
AUAGGUAUAUAUUACCAGACCACAACUUUUUUAUUUUCUUAAGGCAACAUUUAUGCAUAAUAAAACGUUGGAAUCCAUAAAUUAACCAUCUUCUAGAUGAUUCAAGAUAAACACUUUUUUUUUAUAAUCUUGGUGUGAUCACAAAGACUUUCUAGGUCCAAAGACUAAUCGCCAAGAGGCCCAUAAAAAUCUGGUUUUUCUUGCCACUUAAGGCGUUUAUGGAUGGCCAAGGGGAAUCGAACCCAUGACGAGCCUCCGGAUAGAGACACUUAACCAAUUAUUUGAAUUUUCAUGAGGUCCAGUCAAUCGAAGCUAGUAUUUUCCUUUUUUUUAGAAACCUAACCUAUAUUAGGGGUUAUCUGAAGAUGUCAAACUAGACCAAAAAUUAUGUGGUUCAUUGGAACUAGAUGAUGACCACCCUUUUUUACGGAGAACAAUUUACGUUUCAUCUUCUUUUUUUUAGAAAACUUAAAAAUAUGUAUAUAGAGCAAUUAACAAUUAGAUGAGUGGAUACAACAGAAAUAUUCCAUAAGAAAAAGAAAAAAAGAAAAAAAGAAAAGAGAAUUAUUAAGAAGAAAGAUAAACAUGGCGAGAAAAAUAAACAUGGCGAAACGUGGAAAUGUCGUCGCUUUCAUCUCUCUUCUGAUGAUUUUCUUGUUGGUUUUGACAGGGGAAGCUCAGGAGAAAACUAAGUAUACUAAAGCCAAGAGUGCGCCAACUGAAGUCUGUUUGGAUCGUAAUUCUGGUGAUGCUGUAUGCACUCAGUAUUGCGUUGCAGAAACAAAUCCGAAAAGAUGUUCUGGAAAAUGUUUCCCAUAUAAAAAUGCGGGAAGGAAGGAAUGCUACUGCCAUCCAUGCUAAAAAUGACAAUAGCUGGUUUUGAUUGUUUGUGUUUGUGUGUGUGUGUGUUUUUUUUUGAAAAAUUAUAUUUUUAACCGGUCAAUACUUUGGAGUAGUUUUCUAAAAGUUAUAAAUGCCAGUUUUAAAAGUUUUCACCAAAUUUUAAGAUAAAAACAUAAAUCAUAUUUUCUUGGGUUUGACCAAAAAAUUCUUUUCUUUUACUCAGAUGAGAUUUUUUAUUUUCAUAUAUUAUAUAGUUAUUUAGAAACUCAAACAUAUUCUAAAAACAUCAGACAAUCAAAGCCAAUAUACAUAAAAUAUUGGAAAUGAAAAUAAGAUUGUUUUUAUUAAGUUAUGCAUUUUUUAACAUUAAGUUAUGCAUUUUUCAGUGAUCUAAUUUCUAAGAAGUUAUUAUAAUAAAGAAAUGUAGUUUUUUUUUUUUUGAACAAGAUGUAUUUUUUCCUUUCAGACUCAAAUUAUAAUGUUUACAAAAAAUUAUCUAGCACUCAUUCAGAUACAAUCGGACAAUCUGUUAUCAAAUCUUAAUAUUAAAACAAAAAGUUUUUUUUUUGAGAAAGGGUUUACUAUUAAAUUGCAGAAAAGAAAGGAAAACAUCACCAGCCAUAAGGCAUUGUUUGCUGAGCUCGUGCCCAAUUUAAAUACAUAAAUACAUAAACAACCCCACAAUUUAAACCCAUAAAAAACAAAAAGAUUUCAAUGGACCAAAAGAGAUUUUCUUACUGGAUACAUUAACCGUAAGAUCAAAGCCGUGCCAACAUUAACAGCUGCCCCAAGCCAAAAACAAAGUCAAAUGAAAAAUAUCUACAAUAAUAUGAAGGCUAUUGUAGUUCAGUGUGCAAGAAAAUUUCUUUAUUUAUACAAUUUAAAUAAUUAACAAAUAUUUUCAUAUUUUAUUUAGUUUUUUUUUUAAAUCUCUGUUUUUGUAGUCUCAUCUUUUGUUUAACUCGUGAAGCUAUUAACAAAGCUACAUGUUUAUAUAGAAUCACAUUACAUGAAACAAAUUAUAAGAAAUGUCUUUAGUGUUUUGUAUAUUUUAAAAGAUGCCCUAGGCCAAUGCUUCUUAUUUUCUCAUGUAAGCACGACAUUGCGUAAGAUACUAACAAUCUUUAUCCACCUUUCUUAUUGGUCGAUUGUAUUUGUAUAGCUGCUUCAUAUUCAAACGACUUGGUGAGCUCAUAAUACAAAUGAUAUGUGAAAUAUAUCAGUUAUGUGAAAAUGCAUUGUUGCAGAGUUACAAACAUUUCAUACAAAGCGAUCAUUAGCUCUAUUUCACUCUAAAGAUGUACUGCUUCUGCUUCCUGAAACUGUUCUCGUUCCGCAUAUAUCAACUUACCUAAAUCAUGAAAACAGUAAAGACCUGUUUGCUAUAUUGAGGAUAUGUAUUUUAUAUGAGGUUUAACAACUAUCAUGUUAUAUAUGGCCUGCGAAAGAGAAAAGACGAUUAGAUUAAAAUAUACGGGAAGACGAAUCUACACACAGAUAUAUAUAUAUAUAUAACUUAUCUAAAUAAAAAUGUUUUAAUAAGUACCAUAUACUUAUUACCAUAUAUUAUAGAGCAGAAGGCAUGUUAUAUAUUUUUACAUCAAGCAUCAAACGGUAGUUGAUGAUGAGCUACAAGACUGAACCUAAUUUAAGUUCUCUUAUAUUCUAUUGCACACUAGAGAAAAAAUCUGUCUUUGAUACUGCAAAAGGUUUGAAAAGAUAUUUGCCUCGCAUAUCAAAAAGUUUCUAAACAUAAAUGUUGAAAUCUAAAACUGGAAAUCUAGUUUAUAGACUAAUCAAACAAUAAUAAGAGAGAUUAGGGCCAAAGAUUCGGUUUAUUGAGUCACUACAAGAAAACCUGGUCAUGACGACCACGAAUUACGACUACAAUAGUGUCGUCGUAAUGUGACAUCAGGUUUACGUCGACGAAGCAUGAUGUCAUCCAAAAAUAGACGUAAAUUUGCUAUCAAAUGUUUUAGUCGUAAAUUAGUCGUAAAGUAACGUCUUUUUAACGGCGACCUAGUUGUAGAAUUGCUACGAAAAAUCUUUGUCGUAAAUUAGUCAUAAUUAUACGACUAGAUUACGACAACCUUUGAUUUCUUCGUAAACACGUUGGUAAAUUACGUCUAUUUUCCAUCUAAUAUUUUCCAUCUAAUUAACGACCUUAUUACGUGGAAUGCAGUUGUAAAUUAGUAGUAAAGUUUAUGGUGACAUAAAUUGGUCGUAACAUUCCCACCUACCAAAAUCGAAUUUUUUUUAUAAAUAUGCUCUCCUCGCUCUCAUUCUCAAAUGCACAAAAAAACAAAAAAAAAAGUUAAAAAUGUCUCGAGAUAUCUAUGAGCUUCGGAAUUGGAUGUAUGCACACAAAGAUUCUGUGGGAAGAGUGACAAGCGAAUUUCUCAACGGAGCAGAGACAUUCAUGUACCAGGCCGGAAAUACAUCUCUCACGCAAGAAACAAGUAAAAUGUUCUGUCCCUGUCAUAAAU